RNAcentral lists this ribosomal RNA (472 nucleotides) under uncultured delta proteobacterium. Its description in RNAcentral is "bacterial SSU rRNA". It matches the Rfam family "Bacterial small subunit ribosomal RNA", at positions 400 to 863 of the family's 1533-position model. Lineage: Bacteria; Deltaproteobacteria. The record is from RNAcentral.
CGUGAGUGAAGAAGGCUUUCGGGUCGUAAAGCUCUGUCAAGUGGGAAAAACGUCUUUCGGUUAAUAGCCGGAAGAUCUGAUGGUACCACUGGAGGAAGCACCGGCUAACUCCGUGCCAGCAGCCGCGGUAAUACGGAGGGUGCAAGCGUUGUUCGGAAUUACUGGGCGUAAAGAGCGUGUAGGCGGUUUGGUCAGUCAGACGUGAAAGCCCUGGGCUUAACCCAGGAAGUGCAUUUGAUACUACCAUCCUUGAGUAUGGGAGAGGAGAGUGGAAUUCCCGGUGUAGAGGUGAAAUUCGUAGAUAUCGGGAGGAACACCCGUGGCGAAGGCGGCUCUCUGGACCAAUACUGACGCUGAGACGCGAAAGCGUGGGGAGCAAACAGGAUUAGAUACCCUGGUAGUCCACGCCGUAAACGAUGAGAACUAGGUGUAGCGGGUAUUGACCCCUGCUGUGCCGGAGUUAACGCAUUAA